CUUUUACACUUUCAACCAAAGGGAUUGAGCAACUAGGUGGUAACAGAUGCGCAAUGUAUCCUAAAUAUAUUUGGACAGAUUGAUUAGUUAGAUUACUUUCAUCAGAGAAAUUAUGUGAAUGCUAUUGUUGGCAUAAACCUGUCUAUACAGCUUAUAGGGAAUCACAGACUUUGUGUGCCUGUACGAAUUUCCCGGAGAGCCGCCAUGGGCGCUCUGGUUGACACCACCUUCUUCACAUCUUCCCUGGCGAGGAAAACGUUGCACACACGGCUUGAGGAAUGAGGACCCUCCCUCUCCUUCAGAGGAAUGUUUAAUUGCAAGUAGUAAAUCUUUCUUCCCGUCCAUAUCUUGACAGAUUUGGCCACCAAAUUAUUCAUCUCGAAUACCUGAAACUGCAAGCAUCAGACCAAGCUAAGCAUCAUAUUCAAAGAAUAUGCAACUUUCCUACAUGAUUCAGUUUCUUUAAUUUCCUAUUGCUGAACUGUAUAGCGGUUUUUGUUCAUGCAUUUGGGUUCUAUAGUCCUACAUUAGGGUUCUGCUCAGGGGAUUUUGUUCAUGCAUGAUUCACUGUACAAUAGGAUUUGUUGAGAAUUCAUAAACAAUAAAAGUUUCCUGCUUGGGUCACAAUUACUCAAAUAGCAGCGGGCUCGGCCUGCGCUGGCGGCGGCGUUGUCCCUCUCCUCCGUCGAGCGGUGGCGCAGGACGCAGCAGGCUUGACCUAAGUCGGCGGCGGGGCUUGCCCCGACACACCAGCCCAAGCGACGCCGCUGUCGAUCCAUGCACGCCGCCUAUCCUGACAUGCCUCUGGCCAUCAAUUCCGAUGUCAUGUGGGAGCCUUCUCAUCCGUGUAGGUUCUCCUCUGCCCACGUCUCGGGGCGACCACUGCAGCCGAAGCUGAUGCGCCCCGUCGGCUGACGCGCCCACCUCCCUGAUAUUUCUCUGUGUACGGGAUUGACCUGCGGUUCUGUUGGUGGUCUUCCCCAUCUUAGGCGUUUGGACUUGGGAGGCAGUGGAUCCGAGAGGCACAGGGUUGUUUAUUCAUUUGACUAUGGUGCCGCUGCUGUUCUAAACGACGCUGCCGACGAGCGAUGAACCAUCUGGUAAUGCAAAUCCUUGUGCCUUAGUAGUGAUGAGUAUCCGUCUAUGAAGGCAAAUCAUGUCUACUUACUGAUGAGAAUAUCCGUCUAUGAAGGCAAAUCAUGUCUACUUAUUGAUGAUAGUGUGCGUUUGACAGUGUGUUGAGAAUAAUUGCGGUGAUAUGGAAAUUCUUAACUUGGAUAAUAACACUAGGGGCGAACUUGUGUCUGCUGAACUUUGUGUUACGGACCUUAUUCAAGCAGAGGCAAGAAUCAGCUUCCAGGGUCUCUCUUCCUUCGGGUACAGGAAGAAGGUGGGUGAGUUGCAGAGGGAAGCGGGGUUGGGAAGAGCCUACCGAGUCGAAGGAGGCCACAAACUUUUUUAUCUUCCGGGUUGGACUUUGCCUUCUUCAGGUUGGUCGACUGACCCAUUUGUUUGAUGCUUCAUGCACUUCUCUUCGUCAGUUAACUUAGUAUUUCUUCAACUGUUGUUUUUCUUUGUCAGUUAACUCCUUCAGUUUGCGUUCUUGUCCUCGGUGCAGACAACCUUCUAUUGCAGGUCUCUACCACUUUGGUCCAACAGCCCGACUACCAUGCAUGUGGAUCACACGUGAUUAGAAAGAUGGACAUGGCUUUGACUAAAUAGUUUUGUGUUUUUCUUGGUUUAUCAUUGUUCUAAUCAUGAAGUUUGGUAGGUGGUGGCCGUUUAAUAUAUAUAUAUCACUUGGGUUUGGAUAAUACACUUUACCAUACAUUCUGUAUAAAUGCAAUGCCUAUGUUUUUUAUUUCUAAAGUGAAUUCAUAACCUGAGAAUACUAUGAUGGGGCUAAUCUGAAUAUGGCAAUCCAUGAUAUGUCCUGAUGCUCAGUUUUAUUGACAUUACCAAGAGAAAGAAUACUUUGAUGUAGCAUAUCUGCAAUGUUCAUGUAUGGUGACCAAGCUCUUCUUUUUCACUACUCGCCAACUUAAGUCAGUAUAGUUCACAUUUCAUCUGAGCCAAUUCAGAGAUUAAUACAUGAUUUCUUCCUCAAUUUCUACAUCAGAUCAUCUAAAAAUCUAAAAAUUUCUUAUCCAAGUAUUAAUCUUCGUUGUUCAGAAUUUGACUAUGUAAGUGUGUGGAUGUGCUGAACCAGACUAUAUCUUCCGUGGUUGCCACAUCCUAACAUAAGCUAAAACAUUCUUAGCUAUGGAUCUUCUUUCUUUUUUUAGAGUAAUAGUUGAUUUGUUGUUUCAUACUAAUGCCGUUUAAAAUAUAACUAUGUUUUAUUCCUCAGAGAGCAAUCAUACAGGGGAAUAUAAUGUUGUGUUUGUGCAUCCUCAUUUGGCAAGAGUUCAUAAUACUAUUUGUCUCUGUAUGACAGUACUCAGCAUUAGUUGAUGCAGAAUAUGUCUAUACUUUUACCAAGGAGUUCUAAUGAUUUGAGGAUUGCAUAUGUGCAGCUCAGACAUUGCUUCUGUACACCACUAAUGAUUCGAGGAUUAUAUUCUGCAAGGAACCAAUUUUUAAUGGCCGCGGCAACCAUGAUCAGCUUCUCAAAAAGCCAAGGUGCUAGGUACAAAUCAACUUAAUGUUUAUUUGAACAAACACAGAAUUUUGCUUGAUCUUCAGAUAGAGGCAUCGAUUGGGAGGAACCGAUAUAGGGCGCCGCGGCUGGUAUCCCAGUGCUGAUCCUCUCCGAUUAGUUUCCCUGCGCUUCACCUUCCUGCACGCUUUUAUCAAUACGACGAUCUUCUCCCUUCGAGUUCUGCCAUAACAAGUGCCGCAACUUGCACCUGAUCUGCCAUAGCUCCUACAGAGCCCGCGGGGUCGACAGCGUGGAGCGCAUCCACUCGGACUACGGCCGCAGCCGCGCCGUCGUCAAGAUGCUCUGGUCUGUCCAGUUCACGUGUCGCAAUAGAGAGUACCGCCUCACGGUGUUCCUGCAUGAUACGGCAUGGAGGACCACUUGCACCCCUUGCUGUGAUCCUGGUACAAGGCCCGCUUCUGCCACGGGCCGCUGCUGUGGCAGCAUCUUCUUCCCCAGUAUCGACGACUCGAACAUCACCAGACAGAGCAUCAUGGGCGGCAUCUCCAUCCCCUCCGCUACGGCAAGGAUUUGGCCGAGGAUGUUGACGAGCAGGCGUUCCUCAGGGCCAACAAUGGUGAGCUGUUCCAUCUCUGCUGCGCGGGGAUAGAGCUCGUCGUUAUGACAUCCGGCUGGUAUGUGGUAGAGGCCGUGGCGGAGGCAAAGACGACCUCAUCAUUGUUGCCAAUAAGGACAUGAUCUCAGUUCAAAUGCAUGUGCCGACGAAACCUUUGGUAAAAUAUAAUAAGAGGUAGUAAUUAAAUUUUCUCAAUGUAUCUAUGAUUUUUUAAGACAUAAUAUAAUAGAUUGAACAUUUAGUUUACAUGUACUCAAAUUCCCUUUAGUUUAUUUGUACAGGUGAUGAGCUUCUUAUUU
Molecule: RNA transcript, 3517 nt
Organism: Triticum aestivum (bread wheat)
Lineage: Eukaryota; Viridiplantae; Streptophyta; Magnoliopsida; Poales; Poaceae
Exons: 6
Source: RefSeq, a predicted model, not a curated record